UGCGCAAGCCUGAUCCAGCCAUGCCGCGUGAGUGAAGAAGGCCUUAGGGUUGUAAAGCUCUUUUGGCAGGGACGAUAAUGACGGUACCUGCAGAAUAAGCCCCGGCAAACUUCGUGCCAGCAGCCGCGGUAAUACGUAGGGAGCAAGCGUUGUUCGGAUUUACUGGGCGUAAAGGGCGCGUAGGCGGCGCGGUAAGUCACUUGUGAAAUCUCUGAGCUUAACUCAGAACGGCCAAGUGAUACUGCUGUGCUAGAGUGCGGAAGAGGCAACCGUGAUUCUUGGUGUAGCCGUGAAAUGCGUAGAUAUCAAGAGGAACACCUGAGGCGAAGGCGGGUUGCUGGGCCGACACUGACGCUGAUGCGCGAAAGCC
RNAcentral lists this ribosomal RNA (370 nucleotides) under uncultured bacterium. RNAcentral describes it as "bacterial SSU rRNA". It matches the Rfam family "Bacterial small subunit ribosomal RNA", at positions 374 to 761 of the family's 1533-position model. The record is from RNAcentral.